GAUGAACGCUGGCGGCGUGCUUAACACAUGCAAGUCGAACGAUGAAGCCCAGCUUGCCGGGUGGAUUAGUGGCGAACGGGUGAGUAACACGUGAGUAACCUGCCCUUAACUCUGGGAUAAGCCUGGGAAACUGGGUCUAAUACCGGAUAGGAGCGUCCACCGCAUGGUGGGUGUUGGAAAGAUUUAUCGGUUUUGGAUGGACUCGCGGCCUAUCAGCUUGUUGGUGAGGUAAUGGCUCACCAAGGCGACGACGGGUAGCCGGCCUGAGAGGGUGACCAGCCACACUGGGACUGAGACACGGCCCAGACUCCUACGGGAGGCAGCAGUGGGGAAUAUUGCACAAUGGGCGCAAGCCUGAUGCAGCGACGCCGCGUGAGUGAUGACGGCCUUCGGGUUGUAUACCUCUUUCAGUAGGGAAGAAGCGAAAGUGACGGUACCUGCAGAAGAAGCACCGGCUAACUACGUG
This 466-nucleotide ribosomal RNA is filed under the name uncultured bacterium. RNAcentral describes it as "partial 16S ribosomal RNA". It matches the Rfam family "Bacterial small subunit ribosomal RNA", at positions 28 to 507 of the family's 1533-position model. The record is from RNAcentral.